AUUGAACGCUGGCGGCAUGCCUUACACAUGCAAGUCGAACGGCAGCACGGGUGCUUGCACCUGGUGGCGAGUGGCGAACGGGUGAGUAAUACAUCGGAACGUAUCUUAUCGUGGGGGAUAACGCAGCGAAAGCUGUGCUAAUACCGCAUACGCCCUGAGGGGGAAAGCGGGGGAUCGCAAGACCUCGCGCGAUUAGAGCGGCCGAUGCCUGAUUAGCUUGUUGGUGGGGUAAAAGCCCACCAAGGCGACGAUCAGUAGCUGGUCUGAGAGGACGAACAUCGACACUGGGACUGAGACACGGCCCAGACUCCUACGGGAGGAAGCAGGGGGGAAUUUUGGACAAGCGGGGAAACCCAGCUCCGGCAAUGCCGCGUGAGUGAGUAAGGCCAUCAGGUUGUCACGCUCUUUUGUCAGGGGAAAAACACCCGCUAUAACACAGUCCGUUAAUGACGGUACCUGAAGAAUCAGCACCGGCUAACUACGUCCCAGCAGCCGCCGUAA
This 501-nucleotide ribosomal RNA is filed under the name uncultured bacterium. RNAcentral describes it as "partial 16S ribosomal RNA". It matches the Rfam family "Bacterial small subunit ribosomal RNA", at positions 30 to 523 of the family's 1533-position model. The record is from RNAcentral.